Molecule: non-coding RNA, 30 nt
Filed under: Rattus norvegicus (Norway rat)
Lineage: Eukaryota; Metazoa; Chordata; Mammalia; Rodentia; Muridae
Source: RNAcentral
UCAUAAGAGCAUCGACAAUUCUGAAUCUUA